Molecule: microRNA precursor, 63 nt
Filed under: Murid gammaherpesvirus 4 (Murine herpesvirus 68)
Lineage: Duplodnaviria; Heunggongvirae; Peploviricota; Herviviricetes; Herpesvirales; Orthoherpesviridae
Description: microRNA mghv-mir-M1 precursor (mghv-mir-M1-6)
Gene: mghv-mir-M1-6
Source: miRBase by way of RNAcentral
CAACCACCUCCCACAAUUUCAGAGUCUUAGCCAGAUUAUCUGAAACUGUGUGAGGUGGUUUUU